UAUUCUGCCCCAUGGGGAAGGAUGAGAAGCUUCGACUAAGGUUCGACUCGAGCGAAGCGAGAGAACGUUGCCGCAGGCAAUGGCCCGAAGGCGAGGCGCUUUAGCGCCGAGUAAUCCUUACCCCACCACUG
RNAcentral lists this small RNA (131 nucleotides) under Klebsiella pneumoniae. Its description in RNAcentral is "RtT sRNA". It matches the Rfam family "RtT RNA". Rfam says of the family: This family represents a bacterial cis-regulatory element known as RtT RNA. The exact function of RtT is unknown although it is thought that it may be involved in changing the cellular response in relation to amino acid starvation. Lineage: Bacteria; Pseudomonadati; Pseudomonadota; Gammaproteobacteria; Enterobacterales; Enterobacteriaceae. The record is from RNAcentral.